RNAcentral lists this ribosomal RNA (781 nucleotides) under Arthrobacter sp. RNAcentral's name for it is "bacterial SSU rRNA". It matches the Rfam family "Bacterial small subunit ribosomal RNA", at positions 61 to 856 of the family's 1533-position model. Lineage: Bacteria; Bacillati; Actinomycetota; Actinomycetes; Micrococcales; Micrococcaceae. The record is from RNAcentral.
GUCGACGAUGAUCCCAGCUUGCUGGGGGAUUAGUGGCGAACGGGUGAGUAACACGUGAGUAACCUGCCCUUGACUCUGGGAUAAGCCUGGGAAACUGGGUCUAAUACCGGAUAUGACUCCUCAUCGCAUGGUGGGGGGUGGAAAGCUUUUGUGGUUUUGGAUGGACUCGCGGCCUAUCAGCUUGUUGGUGGGGUAAUGGCCUACCAAGGCGACGACGGGUAGCCGGCCUGAGAGGGUGACCGGCCACACUGGGACUGAGACACGGCCCAGACUCCUACGGGAGGCAGCAGUGGGGAAUAUUGCACAAUGGGCGCAAGCCUGAUGCAGCGACGCCGCGUGAGGGAUGACGGCCUUCGGGUUGUAAACCUCUUUCAGUAGGGAAGAAGCGUAAGUGACGGUACCUGCAGAAGAAGCGCCGGCUAACUACGUGCCAGCAGCCGCGGUAAUACGUAGGGCGCAAGCGUUAUCCGGAAUUAUUGGGCGUAAAGAGCUCGUAGGCGGUUUGUCGCGUCUGCUGUGAAAGACCGGGGCUCAACUCCGGUUCUGCAGUGGGUACGGGCAGACUAGAGUGCAGUAGGGGAGACUGGAAUUCCUGGUGUAGCGGUGAAAUGCGCAGAUAUCAGGAGGAACACCGAUGGCGAAGGCAGGUCUCUGGGCUGUAACUGACGCUGAGGAGCGAAAGCAUGGGGAGCGAACAGGAUUAGAUACCCUGGUAGUCCAUGCCGUAAACGUUGGGCACUAGGUGUGGGGGACAUUCCACGUUUUCCGCGCCGUAGCUAAC